CCUACGGGUGGCAGCAGUGAGGAAUAUUGGUCAAUGGGCGUAAGCCUGAACCAGCCAAGUCGCGUGAGGGAUGAAGGUUCUAUGGAUCGUAAACCUCUUUUAUAAGGGAAUAAAGUGUGGGACGUGUCCUGUUUUGUAUGUACCUUAUGAAUAAGGAUCGGCUAACUCCGUGCCAGCAGCCGCGGUAAUACGGGGGAUCCGGGCGUUAUCCGGAUUUAUUGGGUUUAAAGGGUGGGUAGGCGGCCUUUUAAGGCAGCGGGGAAAGUCGGGGGCUCAACCGUAGAAUUGCCGUUGAAACUGGGGGGCUUGAGUUUGUUUGAGGCAGGCGGAAUGCGUGGUGUAGCGGUGAAAUGCUUAGAUAUCACGCAGAACCCCGAUUGCGAAGGCAGCCUGCCAAGCCAUGACUGACGCUGAUGCACGAAAGCGUGGGGAUCGAACAGGAUUAGAUACCCGGGUAGUC
RNAcentral lists this ribosomal RNA (460 nucleotides) under uncultured bacterium. RNAcentral's name for it is "partial 16S ribosomal RNA". It matches the Rfam family "Bacterial small subunit ribosomal RNA", at positions 338 to 795 of the family's 1533-position model. The record is from RNAcentral.